RNAcentral lists this ribosomal RNA (465 nucleotides) under uncultured Klebsiella sp. RNAcentral's name for it is "bacterial SSU rRNA". It matches the Rfam family "Bacterial small subunit ribosomal RNA", at positions 338 to 795 of the family's 1533-position model. Lineage: Bacteria; Pseudomonadati; Pseudomonadota; Gammaproteobacteria; Enterobacterales; Enterobacteriaceae. The record is from RNAcentral.
CCUACGGGGGGCUGCAGUGGGGAAUAUUGCACAAUGGGCGCAAGCCUGAUGCAGCCAUGCCGCGUGUGUGAAGAAGGCCUUCGGGUUGUAAAGCACUUUCAGCGGGGAGGAAGGCGUUAAGGUUAAUAACCUUGUCGAUUGACGUUACCCGCAGAAGAAGCACCGGCUAACUCCGUGCCAGCAGCCGCGGUGAUACGGAGGGUGCAAGCGUUAAUCGGAAUUACUGGGCGUAAAGCGCACGCAGGCGGUCUGUCAAGUCGGAUGUGAAAUCCCCGGGCUCAACCUGGGAACUGCAUUCGAAACUGGCAGGCUAGAGUCUUGUAGAGGGGGGUAGAAUUCCAGGUGUAGCGGUGAAAUGCGUAGAGAUCUGGAGGAAUACCGGUGGCGAAGGCGGCCCCCUGGACAAAGACUGACGCUCAGGUGCGAAAGCGUGGGGAGCAAACAGGAUUAGAUACCCCUGUAGUC